This 513-nucleotide unclassified non-coding RNA is filed under the name Hevea brasiliensis (rubber tree). The record is from RNAcentral. Lineage: Eukaryota; Viridiplantae; Streptophyta; Magnoliopsida; Malpighiales; Euphorbiaceae.
AGCAUCAUGCAAAUUAUGCUUUUCGAUGAAGUCAAAUAGAUCCGGUUUCAUAAGAUCAGCAUAAAGAGCAAAAGCUUUAUCGUGUUGUCCAUCAAUUACAUAUAACUCAGCUAGCGCCUCUUUGAGUGGAUCAGUCAUAGAUGAGGUAUUAAUCUGAGGUUCAAUAGCGGAGAAAACAGGCGUUGUUGAAUAAAUGCGAGGUGGCCAAGAUUUGACCGUCGAUAACAGAUCCUUGUGGAAAGAUGGAUUUGUCGCCAAAGCAACAAGAGCUACCUCAUAAGCCGUAUCACGUAAUCUUGGGUUUUCAGUUGGGAUAUAUGGAACCAAAACUGGAAGCUGCCGGAGAUGUGCAAAGUGGAAAACCCAUCUUUCCCACGCGGAAGCUGAUCCUCGCAACAACUUUGGGCACAAAGAUGCCGCUUCAGCAUAUUUUCUUUCAACAAUCAAAUGAUCAAGGUAUCUUGAACCAACCUCAUCAAGUAGUUCACUCUGACCCUGAUUGGCUUCAACCGC